RNAcentral lists this ribosomal RNA (305 nucleotides) under uncultured bacterium. RNAcentral describes it as "bacterial SSU rRNA". It matches the Rfam family "Bacterial small subunit ribosomal RNA", at positions 335 to 657 of the family's 1533-position model. The record is from RNAcentral.
UAUCCUACGGGGGGCAGCAGUAGGGAAUCUUUCACAAUGGGCGAAAGCCUGAUGGAGCAACGCCGCGUGCAGGAUGAAGGCCUUCGGGUUGUAAACUGCUUUUAUAAGCGAGAAAUAUGAUGGUAACUUAUGAAUAAGGAUCGGCUAACUACGUGCCAGCAGCCGCGGUAAAACGUAGGGUGCAAGCGUUGUCCGGAAUUACUGGGUGUAAAGGGAGCGCAGGCGGACUGUCAAGUUGGGAGUGAAAACUACGGGCUCAACCCGUAACUUGCUUUCAAAACUGGCGGUCUUGAGUGGUGUAGAGG